GAUGAACGCUGGCGGCGUGCCUAAUACAUGCAAGUCGAGCGAACGGACGAGAAGCUUGCUUCUCUGAUGUUAGCGGCGGACGGGUGAGUAACACGUGGAUAACCUACCUAUAAGACUGGGAUAACUUCGGGAAACCGGAGCUAAUACCGGAUAAUAUUUUGAACCGCAUGGUUCAAAAGUGAAAGACGGUCUUGCUGUCCCUUAUAGAUGGAUCCGCGCUGCAUUAGCUAGUUGGUAAGGUAACGGCUUACCAAGGCAACGAUGCCUAGCCGACCUGAAAGGGUAAUCGGCCACACUGGAACUGGGAAACGGUCCAGACUCCUACGGGAGGCAGCAGUAGGGAAUCUUCCGCAAUGGGCGAAAGCCUGACGGAGCCACGCCGCGUGCGUGAUGAAGCUCCUCGGAUCGUAAAACACUGUUAUUAGGGAAGAACAUAUGUGUAAGUAACUGUGCACAUCUUGACGGUACCUAAUCAGAAAGCCACGGCUAACUACGUG
RNAcentral lists this ribosomal RNA (497 nucleotides) under uncultured bacterium. RNAcentral describes it as "partial 16S ribosomal RNA". It matches the Rfam family "Bacterial small subunit ribosomal RNA", at positions 28 to 507 of the family's 1533-position model. The record is from RNAcentral.